UCGGAAUUACUGGGCGUAAAGCGCGCGUAGGAGGUUUGUUAAGUCAGAGGUGAAAGCACGGGGCUCAACCCCGGAAUAGCCCUUGAAACUGGGAAACUUGAAUCUUGGAGAGGUCAGUGGAAUUCCGAGUGUAGAGGUGAAAUUCGUAGAUAUUCGGAAGAACACCAGUGGCGAAGGCGACUGACUGGACAAGUAUUGACGCUGAGGUGCGAAAGCGUGGGGAGCAAACAG
This 231-nucleotide ribosomal RNA is filed under the name uncultured bacterium. RNAcentral describes it as "partial 16S ribosomal RNA". It matches the Rfam family "Bacterial small subunit ribosomal RNA", at positions 545 to 775 of the family's 1533-position model. The record is from RNAcentral.